Molecule: long non-coding RNA, 770 nt
Organism: Alexandromys fortis (reed vole)
Lineage: Eukaryota; Metazoa; Chordata; Mammalia; Rodentia; Cricetidae
Exons: 3
Source: RefSeq, a predicted model, not a curated record
CAGGAACUCUCAGAACUAAGAGGAAAACUUUAGAGCCAGAAGAGGGCCACGGGAGAGCUAUGUCUGAUGUUAAUUUUCACAACUUGGAAACUGAGAGCCAAGGAGGGGAAAGGGGAGCUGACCUAUGCCUUUGCAUGAAGAUUUCCCACCACGCUGACGAGAUCACUUGUCAGGAGAGACAGGAGACAAGCGCUGCUGGAUCCAUCUGUCCACGGUGAACUGGACCGCCCUUUGAUCACGCACAGCUCUUGACCUCCCUUUAACCCCACAGGCUCUUCCGUCUGUGUUCUGAACCCUACAGUUGCAGUCUUCCCCAUUUUAAACAGCGGGGAUCUGAGCCUCGGGGAGGAUGCAUGAAGCUCUGGAGUCCACCAGCCACUAAGAAGGCAGAGUGGAGAUUUCGACUCUGAUCUGUCCCAACUUGGAUAAACUCCCGGAACAGCCUGUCGCUGAUGAAAAACAGGGCAAAGCCAUGCCUUAAAAGUUAAUGAAGGUGGAGAUGUGGAGGGGGUGAGGUGGAGGGGUCGGUGAGGGAGGGGAGAGGGAAAGGGAAAGGGAAAGAAAAUGGCAGGACCUUGGCAGAAAAACCCAUGAAUGUUCCCGUGGAGACCAAAAACUUUUUAAAAGUGACUUUAAAAUAAUUACCAGUUCUCUUGCCUCUGGCAGCCCCCAGCCAUGGGACCUGGAAAGGAAAAACGAACUGGUCUUUUGUGUCUUGGGUUAGUAGGAAAGCAUGUUUCUAUGUCCCUGACUGGCAAGGACAUGUGGAC